RNAcentral lists this ribosomal RNA (495 nucleotides) under uncultured bacterium. RNAcentral's name for it is "partial 16S ribosomal RNA". It matches the Rfam family "Bacterial small subunit ribosomal RNA", at positions 28 to 507 of the family's 1533-position model. The record is from RNAcentral.
GACGAACGCUGGCGGCGUGCCUAAUACAUGCAAGUAGAACGCUGAAGGAGGAGCUUGCUUCUCUGGAUGAGUUGCGAACGGGUGAGUAACGCGUAGGUAACCUGCCUGGUAGCGGGGGAUAACUAUUGGAAACGAUAGCUAAUACCGCAUAAGAGUAGAUGUUGCAUGACAUUUGCUUAAAAGGUGCAAUUGCAUCACUACCAGAUGGACCUGCGUUGUAUUAGCGAGUUGGUGGGGUAACGGCCCACCAAGGCGACGAUACAUAGCCGACCUGAGAGGGGGGUCCGCCCACCUGGGACUUGGACACGGCCCCGGCUCCUUCGGGGGGCAGCCGUAGGGAAUCUUCGGCAAUGGACGGAAGUCUGACCGCGCAACGCCGCGUGAGUGGAGAAGGUUUUCGGAUCGUAAAGCUCUGUUGUAUGGGAAGAACGGGUGUGAGGGUGGAAAGUUCACGCUGUGACGGUAUCUUAACAGAAAGGGACGGCUAACUACGUG